Molecule: ribosomal RNA, 646 nt
Filed under: uncultured bacterium
Lineage: Bacteria
Description: bacterial SSU rRNA
Rfam family: Bacterial small subunit ribosomal RNA
Source: RNAcentral
CGCGGCCUAUCAGCUUGUUGGUGGGGUGAUGGCCUACCAAGGCUUCGACGGGUAGCCGGCCUGAGAGGGUGUCCGGCCACACUGGGACUGAGAUACGGCCCAGACUCCUACGGGAGGCAGCAGUGGGGAAUAUUGCACAAUGGGCGCAAGCCUGAUGCAGCGACGCCGCGUGGGGGAUGACGGCCUUCGGGUUGUAAACCUCUUUCACCAUUGACGAAGCCGCAAGGUGACGGUAGGUGGAGAAGAAGCACCGGCCAACUACGUGCCAGCAGCCGCGGUAAUACGUAGGGUGCGAGCGUUGUCCGGAAUUACUGGGCGUAAAGGGCUUGUAGGUGGUUUGUCGCGUUGUUCGUGAAAUGCCACAGCUUAACUGUGGGCGUGCGGGCGAUACGGGCAGACUGGAGUACUGCAGGGGAGACUGGAAUUCCUGGUGUAGCGGUGGAAUGCGCAGAUAUCAGGAGGAACACCGGUGGCGAAGGCGGGUCUCUGGGCAGUAACUGACGCUGAGGAGCGAAAGCGUGGGGAGCGAACAGGAUUAGAUACCCUGGUAGUCCACGCCGUAAACGGUGGGUACUAGGGUGUGGGUUUCCCUCCUUGGGAUCCGUGCCGUAGCUAACGCAUUAAGUACCCCGCCUGGGGAGUACGG